AUCUUCAACACAACACAGAGAGUUUCUAUGUCCAUGGCGGCAGGCUUGCGUUUUUCAUCAGAAAUCAAAAACGUUCCUCUGUCUGGCAGGGAGAAUAAGAAACUACACUAAGAGACGUGAAUAUUUGCAGCUCUUCAUCGUACGGCCAGUAGCAAGUAGCGGAGACACAUUACUUUUGAAAGACUAAAUAAAGAAAGAGAUUAACCAUCAUUGGGAGAAAACACGGUCAUCAAAGAAAUGGAUGUCAUCAACAUCAGAGAGAAUCCAAAAGGGAUGGUUUUUAAGAGAGUGUAAUAUUACACAAAAAAGUGGAAGGAUCAGGACACUGGUGUCCAAGUGAUGGAACUUUGUAUCUUAUUAUGUGUUGUUUAAGUCACUGGUGUCCAAGUGAUGCUUAAGACACUGGUGCCAAGAGAUGGAACAGGCGCUAGAGAUACAUUUGAAUGAACCCAAUCCGUAUUAGAUGUUGACACUGAUUUCAG
Molecule: long non-coding RNA, 482 nt
Organism: Papaver somniferum (opium poppy)
Lineage: Eukaryota; Viridiplantae; Streptophyta; Magnoliopsida; Ranunculales; Papaveraceae
Exons: 3
Source: RefSeq, a predicted model, not a curated record